GAUCGGUGCUUGCACCGAGAUUCAACAUGGCCACGAGUGGCGGACGGGUGAGUAACACGUGGGUAACCUGCCCUUAAGUGGGGGAUAACAUUUGGAAACAGAUGCUAAUACCGCAUAGAUCCAAGAACCGCAUGGUUCUUGGCUGAAAGAUGGCGUAAGCUAUCGCUUUUGGAUGGACCCGCGGCGUAUUAGCUAGUUGGUGAGGUAAUGGCUCACCAAGGCGAUGAUACGUAGCCGAACUGAGAGGUUGAUCGGCCACAUUGGGACUGAGACACGGCCCAAACUCCUACGGGAGGCAGCAGUAGGGAAUCUUCCACAAUGGACGCAAGUCUGAUGGAGCAACGCCGCGUGAGUGAAGAAGGCUUUCGGGUCGUAAAACUCUGUUGUUGGAGAAGAAUGGUCGGCAGAGUAACUGUUGUCGGCGUGACGGUAUCCAACCAGAAAGCCACGGCUAACUACGUGCCAGCAGCCGCGGUAAUACGUAGGUGGCAAGCGUUAUCCGGAUUUAUUGGGCGUAAAGCGAGCGCAGGCGGUUUUUUAAGUCUGAUGUGAAAGCCCUCGGCUUAACCGAGGAAGCGCAUCGGAAACUGGGAAACUUGAGUGCAGAAGAGGACAGUGGAACUCCAUGUGUAGCGGUGAAAUGCGUAGAUAUAUGGAAGAACACCAGUGGCGAAGGCGGCUGUCUGGUCUGUAACUGACGCUGAGGCUCGAAAGCAUGGGUAGCGAACGGGAUUAGAUACCCUGGUAGUCCAUGCCGUAAACGAUGAAUGCUAGGUGUUGGAGGGUUUCCGCCCUUCAGUGCCGCAGCUAACGCAUUAAGCAUUCCGCCUGGGGAGUACGACCG
This 844-nucleotide ribosomal RNA is filed under the name uncultured bacterium. Its description in RNAcentral is "bacterial SSU rRNA". It matches the Rfam family "Bacterial small subunit ribosomal RNA", at positions 69 to 888 of the family's 1533-position model. The record is from RNAcentral.